UAGUCCACGCCGUAAACGAUGUGUGCUAGUUGUCAGCAUUUAGGUGUUGGUGACGGAGCGAAAGCAUUAAGCACACCGCCUGGGGAGUACGGCCGCAAGGUUAAAACUCAAAGGAAUUGACGGGGACCCGCACAAGCGGUGGAGCAUGUUGUUUAAUUCGAAGCAACGCGAAGAACCUUACCCACUCUUGACAUCCUCCUUGGGGCUUUUAGAGAUAAAAGCUUUCGGUUCGGCCGGGGGAGUGACAGGUGCUGCAUGGCUGUCGUCAGCUCGUGUCGUGAGAUGUUCGGUUAAGUCCGGUAACGAGCGCAACCCUUAUUACUAGUUGCCAGCAUUCAGUUGGGCACUCUAGUGAGACUGCCGGUGUCAAGCCGGAGGAAGGUGGGGACGACGUCAAGUCAUCAUGGGCCCUUACGAGUGGGGGCUACAAACGUGCUACAAUGGGCAACGACAAUGGGCAGCUAACCCGCGAGGGCAUGCUAAUCUCAAACGUCGUCUCAGUUCGGAUUGUUCUCU
This 516-nucleotide ribosomal RNA is filed under the name uncultured bacterium. RNAcentral describes it as "bacterial SSU rRNA". It matches the Rfam family "Bacterial small subunit ribosomal RNA", at positions 791 to 1306 of the family's 1533-position model. The record is from RNAcentral.